CAUGUAGGCGGCUGUGUCCGUCGUGUGUUAAAGCCCCUGGCUCAACUGGGGGGAGGUCAUGCGAGACGAUACGGCUGGAGGGCAGCAGAGGCACGUGGAACUCCCGGUGUAGCGGUGGAAUGCGUAGAGAUCGGGGAAGAACACCAGUGGCGAAGGCGAUCUUCUGGUCUAUUUCUGACGCUCAGACGCGACAGCUAGGGUAGUAAACG
RNAcentral lists this ribosomal RNA (209 nucleotides) under uncultured bacterium. RNAcentral describes it as "partial 16S ribosomal RNA". It matches the Rfam family "Bacterial small subunit ribosomal RNA", at positions 568 to 774 of the family's 1533-position model. The record is from RNAcentral.